CUCUUUAGCUUGGCAUUUGAAUCGGCUUUGCUGUUGCGAAGUAGAGUGGCGGCUUCGGCUGCCGAGGGUCGAUCCAUUUGGGAAAUGUUGUGUACUUCGGUAUGCAUCUCAAUUGGACCUGAUAUCAGGCAAGAUUACCCGCUGAACUUAAGCAUAUUAAUAAGCGGAGGAAAAGAAACUAACAAGGAUUCCCCUAGUAACGGCGAGUGAAGCGGGAAGAGCUCAAGCUUAAAAUCUCCGUGCAAGUUUUGCGCGGCGAAUUGUAGUCUAUAGAGGCGUGAUCAGUGUGGGCGCUUGGGGCAAGUUCCUUGGAAGAGGACAGCAUGGAGGGUGAUACUCCCGUUCAUCCCUGAGUUGCUCGUGCGUACGAUCCGUUUUCUUUGAGUCGCGUUGUUUGGGAAUGCAGCGCAAAGUAGGUGGUAAAUUCCAUCUAAAGCUAAAUAUUGGUGCGAGACCGAUAGCGAACAAGUACCGUGAGGGAAAGAUGAAAAGAACUUUGAAAAGAGAGUUAAAGAGUACCUGAAACUGCUGAAAGGGAACCGAAUCGUUUCCAGUGUCUAUAAUCCGUGGUAUAUUUCAUUGGCGAGUGUGUGCGUGCGUGUGCUGUGGCAGCGGCUUUUUUGGCUGCGCUCGGCGUGUGUGCUGUGUGUGCUUGCUGGUGCCCUGUGCUGCGGUGGGACGUCAAGGUCAGUUCGUAUGCUGCGGGAAAUGGCCGCCGAGGAGGUAGGGCUUACGCUUGCGUUUGUCUGUUAUAUCUUGGUGGACGAGUAGUCGCGGUUGGGACUGAGGUGCCUACAACGUGUUUUUGAGUGGGCCUGUGUCUCUGUGUGCGCCGUGUGCGGAUAGCUUGCUAUGCGUGUGUGGUUGUGUGUGGAUUGAUGUGGGUUUUAACUUGUUGCCGUUCGGGACGUUGACGAAAUGGAGCGAUUUGACCCGUCUUGAAACACGGACCAAGGAGUCUAACAUGUGUGCAAGUGUUAGGGUGUGGAAACCCCAGCGCGAAAUGAAAGUGAAGGGCAGCGUAAGUUGUCUGAGGUAGGAAAUGCUGCGGGCUUCGGUCUGCGGUGUGGCACUAUCGACCGAUCAUGAACCUUCGUGGUGAAAGAUUUGAGUUUGAGCACAUAUGUUGGUACCCGAAAGAUGGUGAACUAUGCCUGAGUAGGGUGAAGCCAGGGGAAACUCUGGUGGAAGCUCGUAGCGAUUCUGACGUGCAAAUCGAUCGUCAAACUUGGGUAUAGGGGCGAAAGACUAAUCGAACCAUCUAGUAGCUGGUUCCCUCCGAAAUUUCCCUCAGGAUAGCAGCAACUUAUUUACGAUAGUUUUAUGAGGUAAAGCGAAUGAUUAGAGGAUUCGGGGAAGAAACUUCCUCGACCUAUUCUCAAACUUUAAAUCUGUAAGACCUGCAGGUUUCUUAAUUGAACUUGUGGAUGUGAAUAUCAAGUUGCUAGUGGGCCAUACGGGGUAAGCUCGUCUGGCGAUGCGGGAUGAACCGAACGCAAAAAUAAAGUGCCAAAAUGCUCGCUCACCUAGAUACCAU
RNAcentral lists this ribosomal RNA (1537 nucleotides) under Phytophthora infestans T30-4. RNAcentral describes it as "28S ribosomal RNA". It matches the Rfam family "Eukaryotic large subunit ribosomal RNA", at positions 1 to 1215 of the family's 3401-position model. Lineage: Eukaryota; Oomycota; Peronosporomycetes; Peronosporales; Peronosporaceae. The record is from RNAcentral.